Molecule: non-coding RNA, 27 nt
Filed under: Mus musculus (house mouse)
Lineage: Eukaryota; Metazoa; Chordata; Mammalia; Rodentia; Muridae
Source: RNAcentral
UAGAUUUCCUGGAAGCCAACCCCUGCC